GACGAACGCUGGCGGCGUGCUUAACACAUGCAAGUCGAACGGAAAGGCCCUGCUCUUGUGGGGUGCUCGAGUGGCGAACGGGUGAGUAACACGUGAGUAACCUGCCCUUGACUUUGGGAUAACUUCAGGAAACUGGGGCUAAUACCGGAUAGGAGCUCCUGCUGCAUGGUGGGGGUUGGAAAGUUUCGGCGGUUGGGGAUGGACUCGCGGCUUAUCAGCUUGUUGGUGGGGUAGUGGCUUACCAAGGCUUUGACGGGUAGCCGGCCUGAGAGGGUGACCGGCCACAUUGGGACUGAGAUACGGCCCAGACUCCUACGGGAGGCAGCAGUGGGGAAUAUUGCGCAAUGGGCGGAAGCCUGAUGCAGCAACGCCGCGUGCGGGAUGACGGCCUUCGGGUUGUAAACCGCUUUCGCCUGUGACGAAGCGUGAGUGACGGUAAUGGGUAAAGAAGCACCGGCUAACUACGUG
RNAcentral lists this ribosomal RNA (468 nucleotides) under uncultured bacterium. RNAcentral's name for it is "partial 16S ribosomal RNA". It matches the Rfam family "Bacterial small subunit ribosomal RNA", at positions 28 to 507 of the family's 1533-position model. The record is from RNAcentral.